GACGAACGCUGGCGGCAUGCCUAACACAUGCAAGUCGAACGGCAGCGCGGGUAGCAAUACCUGGCGGCAAGUGGCGGACGGGUGAGGAAUACAUCGGAAUCUACCCAGUCGUGGGGGAUAACGCAUCGAAAGGUGCGCUAAUACCGCAUACGACCGAGAGGUGAAAGCGGAGGACCGAAAGGCUUCGCGCGAAUGGAUGAGCCGA
This 205-nucleotide ribosomal RNA is filed under the name uncultured bacterium. Its description in RNAcentral is "partial 16S ribosomal RNA". It matches the Rfam family "Bacterial small subunit ribosomal RNA", at positions 28 to 233 of the family's 1533-position model. The record is from RNAcentral.